AAGCUUCAUUAACUUAUUAAGGCUGUUAAAGGGUGAAUUGGAAAGGUAGUACCUUUGUUUAGUAAUAUAUAAAAUAUCGUGUCUUGCUUGCAUUUUAAUACUAAUGUUGUUCCUUUUCAAGAAUUGUGUAUCUAUUUAUCUGAUAGGUCAUGAACGAGUUGGCAAAGAGACGCGUCGAAACUGAAUGGUAAUUUUAAUUUUUAGGUUUCUUGAAAGUGAUUUUGAGCUUAUGUCUCACAUAUGCAGUAGUCACAUGUUUGAGGUGGUGAAUGAUAACUCCUUAUCUCUUGGCAUGUCCUUUUAGUAUGUAUACGAGUGCAGAGCAUAAAGUAUUGAUGAGAGCCACCAAUGUUGUGAUUGUCGGAAAUGUUGCUGCUGUAUGUGGAUAUGUAUAGGAAAGGUUGUGGUGCUGACAUAGGGUGAUGUGAAGUAUACGAGUGCAGAGCAUAGAGAUUUCAAGACGAUUAUCACAGCCAUUUGUAUAUGAUGAAUGCUUGUAUAUAUAGUGAAAUUUGUUCUUAGUGCACUAAAGAUUCAUGUACAUAUGAAAUUACGAUUUUGUGAGAACAUUUUCGUCUCGUUAUGUGUAUAUAAGUUUUUCUAA
Erigeron canadensis is the source of this 604-nucleotide long non-coding RNA. RefSeq lists it as uncharacterized. The transcript is spliced from 2 exons. NCBI's taxonomy places the organism in Eukaryota, Viridiplantae, Streptophyta, Magnoliopsida, Asterales, Asteraceae. The record is from RefSeq and is a predicted model, not a curated record.